CCUACGGGUGGCUGCAGUGGGGAAUAUUGCGCAAUGGGCGAAAGCCUGACCCAGCGACGCCGCGUGAGGGAUGAAGGUCCUCGGAUCGUAAACCCCUGUCAGCAGGGAAGAAAGGACACUGUGCUAAUCACCAGUGAAUUGACGGUACCUGCAAAGGAAGCACCGGCUAACUCCGUGCCAGCAGCCGCGGUAAUACGGAGGAUGCGAGCGUUAACCGGAUUUAUUGGGGUAAAAGGGUGCGUAGGCGGAUUAGUAAGUCAGCGGUAAAAAUGCGGUGCUAAACGCCGUAUCGCCGUUGAAACUGGGAGUCUUGAGUGGGCGAGAAGUAUGCGGAAUGCGAGGUGUAGCGGUGAAAGGCAUAGAUAUCACGAAGAACUCCGAUUGCGAAGGCAGCAUGCCGGCGCUCAACUGACGCUGAGGCACGAAAGCGUGGGGAUCGAACAGGAUUAGAUACCCGAGUAGUC
Molecule: ribosomal RNA, 464 nt
Filed under: uncultured bacterium
Lineage: Bacteria
Description: partial 16S ribosomal RNA
Rfam family: Bacterial small subunit ribosomal RNA
Source: RNAcentral